Molecule: long non-coding RNA, 586 nt
Filed under: Prunus persica (peach)
Lineage: Eukaryota; Viridiplantae; Streptophyta; Magnoliopsida; Rosales; Rosaceae
Description: long non-coding RNA (PPER_LNC007291)
Source: RNAcentral
AAAAAAAAAGUUUACUCACACGAUUGUUAUUGUUCGUGGAAAGUUAGGGUUUAGGGUUUAUUGAACCCUAAUCGAAAGUUACGUAUUUUUACUACAAAACCUUUGUUCAUUCCGAAAAUUAUAUAUUAGUAAUCACUUUCAGUACGUGCAUACAAGUUAUCUCGAAGACCAGUAGUGGUCUAUAGUUGUCUAACUACGAGAACUAAUCUCAUGUGUUUGUAAGUUUAUGCAUGCACGGAAUUGCUGCCGUCCCCUUUGUAUAAGCACCUUGCCACGCCGUCAUCAUAGACAUAGAAAUUAUGUAACAAAAUCGCGGGUUCAUGCACUUACAAGUUCAAAUAUUUUAUAUAAGUAUUUCCUUAUCUUAUAGAUAUUUAUAUCCUUGACUUUGGUACUGUUUUAAGGGCAAACCAUUCGUGAUCAGGUAGACUAACAUAUUGGGCACACAGUGGAUAAGUGGCUAUACAUAAUUGAGUAUAUUAAGUGGGAAAGUCCUUGAGUUGCAAGGUAGACCUUCCAAGGGCUGUGAUUUUUUUCAGCAUUAACCAUUAGGAUGUAUGAUCUUUAAUUAGAAAUUGGAUUUUCC